Molecule: non-coding RNA, 301 nt
Organism: Peromyscus maniculatus bairdii (prairie deer mouse)
Lineage: Eukaryota; Metazoa; Chordata; Mammalia; Rodentia; Cricetidae
Source: RefSeq, a predicted model, not a curated record
AUUUAUUUCAGGAAAAAAAAAAACCAUCACACAGUCUAUAAGCAGAAAAGAUGUGUGUGGUGUGCAGCAAAGAAAAUGCAGGAGGAAAGAACCAUUCCGCCUUGAUGCCGCAUGACUUGCUGCUUCACACCCUGGCUGGCAGGAGGCCCCCACCAUGGUGGACUGUACCCUCAAACUCACAGGUUUGGAAGGCGACCAGCUCGAUGGGAUCAGGACAUUCCAGGAGUCAGAUGAACCCAGAGCCCAGAGCUACUAUCUAAAUCUCAUACUGGAAUGAUGAACUAAAAAGCUUGUACCUAGA